GUGCUUGCUUCAGUACCAUAUAUACUAAAAUUGAAAUGACACAGAGAUUAGUAUGGCCCCUGCACAAGGAUGACAUGCGAAUUUGUGAAGCAUUCAGUUUUUUU
Marmota monax (woodchuck) is the source of this 104-nucleotide small nuclear RNA. Lineage: Eukaryota; Metazoa; Chordata; Mammalia; Rodentia; Sciuridae. The record is from RefSeq and is a predicted model, not a curated record.